Molecule: unclassified non-coding RNA, 202 nt
Filed under: Hevea brasiliensis (rubber tree)
Lineage: Eukaryota; Viridiplantae; Streptophyta; Magnoliopsida; Malpighiales; Euphorbiaceae
Source: RNAcentral
AAAAAAAAAAAAAAAAUCAUCAAUUGUGACUGAGAUUGUUUAGAAGUAUUGAAGCUGGAAAAAAUAAUAAAGCUCGUAAACACAAGGUUUCAUGACUCCAAGGGUUGGUUAGAACAUUAGUAACAAGAUUCACAUAAGAGAAAGCAGAUAGAUGAGGCAGUGAUGCUAAAAGACCUUGCAUACCAAGUAAAAGCCAAUUCAG